AAGUCGAACGAGCGCUUCGGCGCGAGUGGCGGACGGGUGAGUAACACGUAGGAAUCUACCUGCAGGAGGGGAAUAACAGAGGGAAACUUCUGCUAAUACCCCGUAGGGCGCAAGCUGAAAGAACUUCGCCUGCAGAUGAGCCUGCGUCGGAUUAGCUAGUUGGUGGGGUAAAGGCCUACCAAGGCGACGAUCCGUAGCUGGUCUGAGAGGAUGAUCAGCCACACUGGGACUGAGACACGGCCCAGACUCCUAUGGGAGGCAGCAGUGGGGAAUUUUCCGCAAUGGGCGAAAGCCUGACGGAGCAAUACCGCGUGAGGGAGGAAGGCCCUUGGGUUGUAAACCUCUUUUCUCAGGGACGAACAGAUGACGGUACCUGAGGAAUCAGCAUCGGCUAACUCCGUGCCAGCAGCCGCGGUAAGACGGAGGAUGCAAGCGUUAUCCGGAAUUAUUGGGCGUAAAGCGUACGUAGGCGGCUUUUCAAGUCUGGGGUUAAAGCCCACAGCUUAACUGUGGACAGGCCUUGGAAACUGAAAGGCUGGAGUGGGGUAGGGGUAGCGGGAA
RNAcentral lists this ribosomal RNA (561 nucleotides) under uncultured bacterium. Its description in RNAcentral is "bacterial SSU rRNA". It matches the Rfam family "Bacterial small subunit ribosomal RNA", at positions 59 to 666 of the family's 1533-position model. The record is from RNAcentral.